AUGAACACCUCCAUUCAUUUCCAUCUAUCAUGCCUGACAAAAGAGGCAUUGAUGAAUACCCUUUCUAUCUCUCUCUCUAUCUCUGUUUCUCACUUUCCCUGGCAGGAGCGGAGCAGAAGAUUAGGCAAUGAAAGCAAGCCAUGUUUGAGCUGUCUCUCUCUCCGCUGGAGGGAUGCUGCGACAUGGUUGUUGGGGUUCAUUGGCUGUCAUCAUUUCCCCUGCACGCCUCUCUCAGCAACACAAAGGCUGCAGAGGUGAAAUAAACAUGCAAGUACAAGGAGAGAGGAGAAACAAGACCAAGACACAGACAAAACUCAAACCUAGAGGUCUUCAGGAGCAGCAUGCUACCCACUGUGCCACAACUCUGACAUAUGUAAACAAUGCACAGCAUAAGUUUGAUUUAUAAAUGUCUGAUCAAUUCUAAAUAAUAAAAUAGUUUAUUUUUGGAGGUGCAAGAAAUGCUCAUCUUUUAAACAUUUUAUUGAUAUUAUGAUAUCAGAUUGGCAGCUCAUUAUCCAUUCUUCAAAACCAGACUCCCUUUUAUUUCACAACCUUCCCUGGCAGUCAUCCAUUCAAAGGGACUAGAAUGCAAUGCAGAAUUAGUCUGGCCUCUGGUCAUCAAACAACAGGUACAUGCUCACAACCGUUUAACAGGACAACCAAAUGUAGCUAAUUGUGGCAAAGAUGUGUGAUGCUUAAGUUUAUGCAUGAUACUAAAAAGAUUUUGCUCUUUAGAAAUAUAUUUUACAUUAUUGCCCUAUCCAUUCCAUACAGAACAAUUGCAGGUCAUACUCUGCAUGUAACUUCAAGUAUAUAAAUACUUACUUGAGAAAGCUUACAGUACAUGUGCAGUAGCAAAGACUUAAAGAUGUAUUAUUUUCAUCAAUGUGAUCCCAGACCAAGUCAGUUGUGGUUAGAGACAGACUUCAUGUUUGGACUUGUAUAAAUGUUUUAUUCCAGGGAAAGUCUUUCCUCAGCCUUUAGGGUACAUUGUCUCAUGUUGUAUUAUCAUUGUGUAUUCAGUCAAACUGCUAGAGAAAGUUGUGUUAUGACCCUCCCUGUCUGAUCAGCCAUGAGAUUUAGAGUGUUUUUUUAUUAUGUAGGUGGAAAGCUUUUAGAUCUUAUAUAACAAAUUAAACAAGGCACCCUGCUGAUUCAGAUAAUAUACAGUCCAACAUUCAUUAAAAUGGUCACAAAAAUUACAAACCGGACAUGAAAUGUUAUUUCUUACCUAAAAAAAGCUUUUUGUGUUCUUUUUAUAUCCUUUUUAUUUUAUAUUUUCAUAAGAAUCUUAUCUUCUGUUCAAGUCAAGUGUUUAUUUUUAUAGUGCUUUACAAGCAGAUGGUUUC
RNAcentral lists this long non-coding RNA (1349 nucleotides) under Sinocyclocheilus grahami. RNAcentral's name for it is "lncRNA (ENSSGRG00000051308.1)". The record is from RNAcentral. Lineage: Eukaryota; Metazoa; Chordata; Actinopteri; Cypriniformes; Cyprinidae.